GUACGAUCGCAAGAUUAAAACUCAAAGGAAUUGACGGGGCCCCGCACAAGCAGCGGAGCAUGCGGCUUAAUUCGACGCAACGCGAAGAACCUUACCAAGGCUUGACAUAUAGGGAAAAGUGGCAGAGAUGUCAUGUCCGCAAGGGCCCUAUACAGGUGGUGCAUGGUUGUCGUCAGCUCGUGUCGUAAGAUGUUGGGUUAAGUCCCGCAACGAGCGCAACCCUCGUUCUGUGUUGCCAGCAUUUAGUUGGGGACUCACAGGAGACUGCCGGGGUUAACUCGGAGGAAGGUGGGGAUGACGUCAAAUCAUCAUGCCCCUUAUGUCUUGGGCUGCACGCAUGCUACAAUGGCCGGUACAGAGGGCUGCAAUACCGUAAGGUGGAGCGAAUCCCAAAAAGCCGGUCUCAGUUCGGAUUGAGGUCUGCAACUCGACCUCAUGAAGUUGGAGUUGCUAGUAAUCGUAGAUCAGCAACGCUACGGUGAAUACGUUCCCGGGGCUUGUACACACCGCCCGUCACGUCACGAAAGUCGGUAACACCCAA
Molecule: ribosomal RNA, 541 nt
Filed under: uncultured Actinomycetes bacterium
Lineage: Bacteria; Bacillati; Actinomycetota; Actinomycetes
Description: bacterial SSU rRNA
Rfam family: Bacterial small subunit ribosomal RNA
Source: RNAcentral